AGCCUGAUGCAGCCAUGCCGCGUGUGUGAAGAAGGCCUUCGGGUUGUAAAGCACUUUCAGCAGUGAGGAAGGCGGGUACGUUAAUAGCGUGUUCGUUUGACGUUAGCUGCAGAAGAAGCACCGGCUAACUCCGUGCCAGCAGCCGCGGUAAUACGGAGGGUGCGAGCGUUAAUCGGAAUUACUGGGCGUAAAGCGCAUGCAGGUGGUUCGUUAAGUCAGAUGUGAAAGCCCGGGGCUCAACCUCGGAACUGCAUUUGAAACUGGCGGACUAGAGUACUGUAGAGGGGGGUAGAAUUUCAGGUGUAGCGGUGAAAUGCGUAGAGAUCUGAAGGAAUACCGGUGGCGAAGGCGGCCCCCUGGACAGAUACUGACACUCAGAUGCGAAAGCGUGGGGAGCAAACAGGAUUAGAUACCCUGGUAGUCCACGCCGUAAACGAUGUCUACUUGGAGGUUGUGGCCUUGAGCCGUGGCUUUCGGAGCUAACGCGUUAAGUAGACCGCCUG
This 503-nucleotide ribosomal RNA is filed under the name Vibrio sp. HDEP16. RNAcentral describes it as "bacterial SSU rRNA". It matches the Rfam family "Bacterial small subunit ribosomal RNA", at positions 380 to 875 of the family's 1533-position model. Lineage: Bacteria; Pseudomonadati; Pseudomonadota; Gammaproteobacteria; Vibrionales; Vibrionaceae. The record is from RNAcentral.